RNAcentral lists this unclassified non-coding RNA (306 nucleotides) under Hevea brasiliensis (rubber tree). Lineage: Eukaryota; Viridiplantae; Streptophyta; Magnoliopsida; Malpighiales; Euphorbiaceae. The record is from RNAcentral.
GUUCAGUUUCCAUGUAUGCUACUUCUGCCUCAUAUGACCUGUGUCUCAAAAACACCUUUGUUCCAGCAUAAUCAUAACGUUUAGGGCCCAUCCAACGGUAUUUUUCACUCUCCGUAAUAACAUCUCCAUAAAAUCCAUACCCAGCAAAAGAAGCUGCAUAGCGUACGCAUGGUUCAACAUUUGAUGUGGAUGACGUUUUCCAUCUCACAACUUGAGCUAUAUCAAGGUACACCCUUUUACCCAAGACAAUGUGCAAUGCAGAUGUUAUGGGAUCUCGUAUUCCAGUUGUACACAUCACAAUGGCAU